Molecule: non-coding RNA, 1016 nt
Organism: Odocoileus virginianus texanus
Lineage: Eukaryota; Metazoa; Chordata; Mammalia; Artiodactyla; Cervidae
Source: RefSeq, a predicted model, not a curated record
UAGAACCCAAGCACUCCAAUCUCUGGCUUGACUGCCUUUCACCUGGGAGCAUUCCGGGGCCUGGGCAGGCACCAGGGUCCCUCUGGGCCGCCCCCACCCUACCUCUUGAGAAGUGAGGGGGAGAAGAAGGAGCUGCUGCUGCCGGGGACAGCUGGGGCUGACCAGGAGACGCCCUCCAUCAUCCUGUCCGGCACACCCUGGGCUUCGCUCCGGAGUCCCCGUGAUGACACAAAGGCCACUCCCUGUCCUGUUUGUCUUUCUGGCCAAACAAGGCUAGGCAGAAAGUGAGGCAAGUAUGGACUUUUCCACCGGGGUCCGGAAGUUCUGUAAAUUUAGAGGCAUAGGCUUCAGCCUUCUGUUCUGAAAAAGCCCCUCUGGUGGGCGCCUCCCUGCCAUCCCAGGUCCAAGGUCUGGAGUCCUCUGGGGAAACCCUAUCCUUCUCCAAACCCCCGUGAGCUGCCUCCUUUAUGGCCAGAAGUGUUGGGUACAAGAUGCCCCAGCGAAAAGGGAUGGAGGCUGGAUCUGGAGGAGAGAAGCUGGUUCUAGAAACCUCCAUUCCCCUGUGAAGUGUGACCCCAUUCCCUGGGCUUGGCUGACUUGUUAUCCCAUCCAACCCUGUAAAUCAGACAUUUCAGCCAUGUUCCUACCUCCUCUGUCUUCCUCACUUGCCACAGUGAGUUGGUGGCAAGACCCAGCCUUUCCCCCUUCCUGGCUACCUCCCCAGCUUGCCCCAGACUCCCCUCUCCCCACUGUUGCUCAUCUACUACCCUGGCCAGGGUCCUCUUGCCUCUCACCAGCUUCUUCUCUGGGUCUCUUGCUCUGCCUCCAGCUAGCUCCCCUCCCACCCACCAUCCAUGAGCAUCACAGCACAAAUGUGACCAUGUCACUCUUCAGCUCAAAUCCCUUUCAUGAAUUCCCAUUGCUCCUGGGGAAAAGCUCCCUCCCUGCUGGCAGGCUGGGCCCUUCCUGAUCUAAUGAGAGAUGAAGUGUUCUUUGAAAAAGAAAAAAAAAAAAAA